AUUGGACGCUGGCGGCAGGCCUAACACAUGCAAGUCGAACGGUAACAGGAAGAAGCUUGCUUCUUUGCUGACGAGUGGCGGACGGGUGAGUAAUGUCUGGGAAACUGCCUGAUGGAGAGGGAUAACUACUGGAAACGGUAGCUAAUACCGCAUAACGUCGCAAGACCAAAGAGGGGGACCUUCGGGCCUCUUGCCAUCGGAUGUGCCCAGAUGGGAUUAGCUAGUAGGUGGGGUAACGGCUCACCUAGGCGACGAUCCCUAGCUGGUCUGAGAGGAUGACCAGCCACACUGGAACUGAGACACGGUCCAGACUCCUACGGGAGGCAGCAGUGGGGAAUAUUGCACAAUGGGCGCAAGCCUGAUGCAGCCAUGCCGCGUGUAUGAAGAAGGCCUUCGGGUUGUAAAGUACUUUCAGCGGGGAGGAAGGGAGUAAAGUUAAUACCUUUGCUCAUUGACGUUACCCGCAGAAGAAGCACCGGCUAACUCCGUG
This 490-nucleotide ribosomal RNA is filed under the name uncultured bacterium. Its description in RNAcentral is "partial 16S ribosomal RNA". It matches the Rfam family "Bacterial small subunit ribosomal RNA", at positions 30 to 507 of the family's 1533-position model. The record is from RNAcentral.